GCGUUGCCGUGAGCUGUGGUGUAGGUCACAGACGUGGCUCGGAUCCCGAGUUGCUGUGGCCCUGGCAUAGGCUGGUGGUUACAGCUCCGAUUUGACCCCUAGCCUGGGAACCUCCAUAUGCCGCGGGAGCGGCCCAAGAAAUGGCAAAAAGACAAAAAACAAAGAAACAAACAAACAAAAUAAAUAAAUAAAUAAAUUUACUGGAUCUUAAGUGAGAACCAAAGCUGCAAAAAAAAAAUAAAUUUAAAAAUAAAUAAAUAAAUAAAUAAAAAUAACUGAAAAUCCCCCCCCCCAAAAAAUAGCUAUUUUUAAGUACACUUGUACUAUGUGGGAAAGGACUUCCAGAUUGAUAGAUCAGAAUGAGCAAAAAGAAACUGGAAAAUACAGGAUAUAUUGAGAAAUGUUUAGUGAACCUGUACUAAUGGAAUUAACUGGAGAAUAUAGUCUGUUUUUAACGAGAAAAGCCAGGUUAUGGCCAAAAUACUGAGGUGUCUGAGUGCCGUGAUAUUACAUUCAGAUACAUGAGUUGUGUGUGUUAAACUAGCAGGUAGCAUGGGGUGGGGGUGAGAGUUGAGGAUAAUCAAAGGGUUGAAUAGGACCUUCAUUUAUCUGAGUUUUAAAAACUGACUGUAAUGCCAAUGUGAAGUCUGAAUUAGAGGGUAAAAAAUUACAGGAUGAAGAAGAAUUUAGACAUUAAUGCCACAAAUUAGAUAGGAGAUUCUAUACAUAUAUUCUAAAACAAUGGAAUUAAGAAUAGAAAGAGUGGAUAAUGGAGAUAUUACAACAGAAAAAUGAACAAAAGAUUUUGUUUGUGAGAGUAGAGUGAGAGGGAAAGAGAGACAUCUGUAUUGUUUAGCUUAUUUUCACUUAUACUGACACCAACUAAUUUAUAAUUCUACUUCAUUCAGAAAUAGUUUAUGGUAACUCCCUCAAGUUAUAUAGAUAUGCUCUUUUUAUCAAAACAUUUAUGUAAACUGUCCUAAUUGUUUGAAGAGAUACAUUUUUUUCCCCAUUUUUUACCCUUAGGGAAGUAUUUUUGAAAAAUUACAACUAGUCUUUCUCUUCCAUCUUGAGACACAAAUGAGCCUUGCCCUGUUGACUUAUGGUUUGUUAGGGGCUAUAAGGUAACAUAAUGCUUUGCCAAGUUAUAUAUGUAGUACAUAAAAAUGGAACAUUUAAGAGGAUACUUAAAAACUUAUGAAAUAUAACUUAUAGUACAGAAUACUGUAUCAACUCCGAAAUUUUAUGCAUAAAAGUUUAUAACAGCCACCUUCUUAACUAAAACAAUAUUUUAUAUGAGAAACAUGUUUGCUUCAGGCAUAGUAAUUUUACUGCAUAGCAUUAUUAAUUUCUAUUAUCUUAAAUAAGAAAUAUGGUCAAAAUAUCUUAUCAUCACUAACGCCUAAAACACAAACAGACAAGAAUGCUCCACUGUUCACCUAACAACAAGCAAGCCCACUAGGAAAUUUAAUGUUACAAAGAAUGAUCCAUGGUUCUUGAAUAUUAUCGGGUUUUUCUAUGGCUACUAAACUUACUGAAAAUUCUUUGAAAAAAUUCCGAGUUAAAAUCUGCAGCACUAAAGUGGAUGCUGUGGCCUCAAAGGAAUGGUCAUCUAAAGGGUCCAUAAAUCAAAAUGGAAAAGACCAGUACCUCAACACGAUAAAGAAAAGAUCACAAACAUAUGAAAAACAGUUAGCUACACUUAUACAACGCAUGAAAAUUCUAACCAUGAUAAGCAACAGGUUUCUCUGCUACCAAAUGGCAAAGAACAAAAAAUGUAUGAAAAUAUUUUGGUAGGCAAUGGACAUUCUCAUGUACUAGUGGGGAAUGAAAGUUGAUAGCAUGUUUUAUAGGGCAAUUUGGCAAUAUCUAUUAAAUUAAAAAUGUACACAACUCUCUAGGGUAUUUGUCUUAGAAGUACACUCCAAAUAGGGUACCGGGAUGUUUAGUGUAUAAUUACAACAUCAAAUGUUUGGAAACUAUUUACAUGUCCAUUAACUCAGGGACUGUUAAAUAUAUCAUGGUAACUCAUUCAGCAGUGUAAUAACCAGGCAUUAAAAAGGGUGAGGUGACUCUUUAUACACUGAUAUGAAAUAAUUUCUAAAAUAAUUGUUUAAAGAGACAAACAAGGCAUAGAUUUCUGAGUAUAGAAAGCAAACAUUGCUGUGAGAAAUGAAAGGAUAGUUUCGUACAUGUUUGUAUUUAAAUAGAAUAUUUCUAGAUGGAGUCACAAAAAAGCUAGUAAUAGAAAGUAUGUUUCAGAUGGAGAACUGAGUGUCAGCUGAUAGAGAGCAGGGUCUUGAUAUUCAUGGUAUAAGCUUAUGUCCAUCUGAAUACUGUGUCAUGUGCCUGACCUACUUGUUCAAAACACAUGUUAAAUCAUAAUGUUCAUGAAAACAUAAAGGAAUAAAAAAUGAUGCUUUUCUGGCUUUCUUGUAAAUGUAGAUGGCUACAAAUAAAAAAGAUUUUUGAUUGUCAUCAGAUUCUCAAGGGAGUGUCUGUCUCUGUCUCUUUCAAAAGUGUAAAAAUUAUCACUUUUUGUUUUAUUCACACUCUGUGAAUUUAUAUGCCUGUAACUCUUUUCAUACCCUCACACUGAAUCAAGCUUUUUUUAAAAAUGUUUCAGCCAUGUAGCACAGUAUCUGAAUGAAGAUCCUGAGUAAAUGUUUUAGACUGCUGAAUAAUGGACACAGAGAUUCAUCUUCGUAUACAAAGAGAAAGAUGCCCGAUUAUUAGAGUUCACUUCAUUGUGAAAAGGACAACACUGAGACUUGGAUCACAUACAUGAUCUAUUCUGAGUUUUAUGAAAGAAGAGUUUUGUAUUUCAAAUAAUUACUACAAUAUAUACAUCUAUAUUUCUAUCCAUGUAUUUUCUUAGAAUCCUUAUAAUUGCGUGGAGAAAUGGGGAUCAGUAAUGGGUAAGUGGCAAUUCAGUAAAAAGUGACUGGAAGCAUUAUUUUAGAUUUUGUAACACCAAUAAUUUUGUAAAUAAAUUGCUAUAAUGAGAAACUCAAAAUAUUAUUUUACAAGUGAGAAUGUUCGAGAAUAGCUUUAAGUGACAAUUUUGUGUAUUUGUUUAAAUGCAUGAUCCUCAAAAGACAUCAGGUAAUUUAUUUAAAAUUUAUACUUAAAAAAAUAGAGAGAGAAAGUCAGCAAAAGGCUUCACAACUUUCACUGUGCUAAGGUAAAAUCAUCCGAAUUUAACUACAAAUUUUCCCUGUAGUAUCUAAAGAAUUUAGCAGCAGCCCACAGAGGCUUAUUCCAGUGCAUCUGGAAAACAGGGGCACUGCUUCUAGAUUUUCCUAACAUUAUUUUAUUUAUUUAUUUAUUUUUUUUCUUUUUCAGCCACCCUUGUAGGCCACGAAUUGAAUCCUAGCCAGAGCGGUAACCUAAGCCACAGCUGCAGCAAUGCUGGUUCCUUAACCCAAAGUGUCAGGCAAGCUAUUGAAACUCUGCCUCCACAGAAACAAACCAGAUUACUAACGCACUGCACCACAGCUGGAAUUCCAAGAUUUUCCUAUCAUUCUUAAUAAAAUUUUGUUGUAUACAAUUCAGAGUUCUAAUCUAACUUUGUAAUGACAUGAUUACUGCUAUAAUUUGGAUAAUGACGUCUCUUUUCAGGCCAGCUAAAUCAGUGCAACACAAAUGCUUCCUAGGUUACCUGUUUGGUUGGGGUUUUGCUUAUUAGUAUAUGAUAUGUAUUUUUAAAAUUUUUUUAAAUGCACACCUUUUCCAAUAUGUGUCUCCUCCUUUAAGUAUUCAUCCAAAAGAAAAUAUCAUUUUAACACCAAAACUCAUAUUUGAGAAUAUUCUCUAAAGCUGACAUCUAUAAUUUUGAAAAUCACUGAGAUUUAAUUCCAGUGUGAUAAAUGCUCUCAAAGUCUUCUCCUGGCAUAAUGAGAAAUUUUCAUGUUUUGUUAUUAAGAAGCAUAGCUUGUUUAAUUUAUUUAUAAUAAAUAAAAUAAUUCAGUCAUUUGGCAUAUAAGGCAAAUGUCCAGAACAUUCUUGCAAUCAGUCACCAUGCUGCACAGUAGAAAAUUGACAGAACACUAAAAACCAGCUAUAAUGGAAAAAAAAUAAAAAUCAUUAUAAAAAAAGAAAACAAUUCCAAUCAAAAUACUAUAAAAAAAUAAAACAAUAAAGAGUACAUUUAACAACAACAACAAAAAAGAUUUACAGAAGCAAAAAUAAACCUGAAUGUGUGUAAAUAUAUGAUGGUGGAGGGAAUGGCAUUCUGGUUGUGAAUCAUCUCUAACUGCAGUAAUUAUUUAAUCUUAAUCCUUACCAUGCUUUUUUAUAAGUUUUAUAUUCUUUUGGACAUUGCCGAACCACCAACCCAUACUUCAUUCCGUCCUCACUGUGAAACCUGGAAUAUAUACUCUUUGAGGAGACUGGCAGGAGAUAUUGGUUUUAGCAUUCAAGAAAACAUAAAUAUAUGUCUGCUUUUGUGAUUCUCUGAUAUUUACAUUUUGAUGUGUGUUUCUUACUAACAUAUUCAAGAUAUCAAUUCUAGUUAAUUCUUCUUAACAUAUAAUAAUUGAUUUUUAUAUUUUAGGUAGCUUUCUUACAGAAAACAUAUGCUUUG
Molecule: long non-coding RNA, 4585 nt
Filed under: Sus scrofa (pig)
Lineage: Eukaryota; Metazoa; Chordata; Mammalia; Artiodactyla; Suidae
Description: lncRNA (ENSSSCG00000059173.1)
Source: RNAcentral